AUAUUUUGUUUCAUCGCCGAAGCGAUCGUUACAUUCGACUGAACUUGUGACGGGUGUGUAAAGAGGGUCGAGGCGCGGCGGCGGGUCUUUCGACCCAGCCGCACCUCUCAGGUGCACAGGGGUUGAGUGGACGAGGCGCCGAGCACUUGCCGAAGCCAGCUCAGACGCGUUUAAACUCGAUAAUGAUCCUUCCGCAGGUUCACCUACGGAAA
Molecule: unclassified non-coding RNA, 212 nt
Filed under: uncultured fungus
Lineage: Eukaryota; Fungi
Description: sequence contains ITS1
Source: RNAcentral